UACCAGCACCCCGAGUGGUCGGGACGAUUAUUGGGCCUAAAGCAUCCGUAGCCGGUCCUGCAAGUCUUCCGUUAAAUCCAGCCGCUCAACGGUUGGGCUGCGGAGGAUACUACGUGGCUAGGAGGCGGGAGAGGCAAGCGGUACUCAGUGGGUAGGGGUAAAAUCCGUUGAUCCAUAGAAGACCACCAGUGGCGAAGGCGGCUUGCCAGAACGCGCUCGACGGUGAGGGAUGAAAGCUGGGGGAGCAAACCGG
This 253-nucleotide ribosomal RNA is filed under the name uncultured bacterium. RNAcentral's name for it is "partial 16S ribosomal RNA". It matches the Rfam family "Archaeal small subunit ribosomal RNA", at positions 474 to 727 of the family's 1478-position model. The record is from RNAcentral.